Molecule: transfer RNA, 72 nt
Filed under: Bos taurus (domestic cattle)
Lineage: Eukaryota; Metazoa; Chordata; Mammalia; Artiodactyla; Bovidae
Also listed under: 5 other names
Rfam family: tRNA
About the family: Transfer RNA (tRNA) molecules are approximately 80 nucleotides in length. Their secondary structure includes four short double-helical elements and three loops (D, anti-codon, and T loops).
Source: Rfam by way of RNAcentral
UCCCUGGUAGCUCAGACGGUAAAGCAUCUGCCUGCAAUGCAGGAGACCCAGGUUCGAUCCCCAGGUUGGGAA